GAAAUUCUUUCAUCUAUAAAUAGCUACUCAGUUUGCAAAUAACUAAUUUCAUAAUAAUAAUAUUACUAAAGAACUUUAUUAGGAAGCCAUGAAAUCCCUUUUCAUUUUAUCAUGCCUUGUCUCAUCUCUUCAUCUGAUUUUGCUUUUGAAGCCGAUGGAUGCAAGAAAAGGCCCCGGUGGUGAUGACAAAUCUUGGCCGAGUGAUGAAUCGAAGACAAGGGCAACCAUUUGGGAUCCAAGAUCAAGAGUUUGGACCAAAAGUAAUUUAGAGCAAUUAUAAUUGGCGAGAGAUGAUGAUGAUGGACAAGUAUGGGUUUAUGUUGAUGAGAAGAAGAAGAGAAGUAACAUAUGGUUUUACAAUGAUGAUCAUUGAUGAAUGGAUCAAUUAUGGAAUCAAGAUCACCAAUAUAAUAUAUUAUGUACUUUUUUCGUCUGCUAUCAAUGUAUUUCUUUACUAUUUUUUACUAUCUACUAUCAAUAUAUAUAAAGUUGAAGGUAUUUGAAUUUAAUAAAUGUAGUUCCAGUAUAAAUAAUAUAUACAUAUAUAUGUGUAUUCUGAUUUAAUAAGUAUGAUUUCUAUAAAUAAAAUAAAACAUAAUAAAAUUA
This is a long non-coding RNA of Andrographis paniculata, 606 nucleotides long. RefSeq lists it as uncharacterized. NCBI's taxonomy places the organism in Eukaryota, Viridiplantae, Streptophyta, Magnoliopsida, Lamiales, Acanthaceae. The record is from RefSeq and is a predicted model, not a curated record. The transcript is spliced from 2 exons.